RNAcentral lists this long non-coding RNA (2574 nucleotides) under Brassica rapa (field mustard). RNAcentral describes it as "long non-coding RNA (BRAP_LNC006064)". The record is from RNAcentral. Lineage: Eukaryota; Viridiplantae; Streptophyta; Magnoliopsida; Brassicales; Brassicaceae.
AAUUCCAAGCUUGUGGAAACUUAACAUAUUAUUAGAUGUUUAAUAUGUUAAGAUAAACACAAUAAGGAAACCUAGAAAUAGGAAAAGGAAGUUUCUAUUUAGGUUAGGUUUGUGUUUUCCAUAUCCCACAUGUUAAAGGGAAUUGUCUUUCAUAUAAAUAUAGGUCUAAUGGAGAGGUGUUCUAUAUGAUAUAAGUGAAACAUAUUGAGAGCUUUAGUUUUGAGUAGUUUCUAAAGCUAAUAAGAAAAGUUGUUCUUAUAACUCUUUGUGCUUCUAAGAGAUUUGAAUUGGUAUCAGAGCCUCAGGUUGGAGACUCGAUCUAAGCUUAAGUUGUAGCUUAAGAUCCUGGUGCUUGUGAACAAGAGAUCGCGACGGCAAGAUGGCUGACGUGACUAGGGCUCCACGCACGAAGGACUUUGGAUCUACAUCCAUCCAAUGUCCGAUGUUGUCAUCGACAAACUACACAGUUUGGUCGAUGAGGACGAAGGUUCUACUACGUGUUCAUGAAGUGUGGGACACAAUCGAACCUGGUUCAGAUGAUCAAAAUAAGAACGAUGUUGCGAUAGCUCUUUUGUUUCAAUCUGUUCCCGAAACAUUGCUUCUCCAGGUGGGAGAACAAACCGCAUCAAAAGAGAUCUGGAACGCCAUCAAGUCGCGACACCUAGGAGCUGAUCGUGUAAGGGAGGUGAGACUUCAGACGUUGAUGACAGAGUUUGACAGGUUGAAGAUGGAUGAUUCAGAUACGGUCGAUGACUUCGCGGGAAAGAUAUUGGGCCUAUCAUCCAAAGCAACCUCGUUGGGAGAAAACAUAGAAGAAUCCAAGAUGGUCAAGAAGUUCUUGAAGGGUCUUCCAAGACACAAGUAUAUCCAGAUCGUAGCAUCACUUGAGCAAGUCCUAGAUCUCAACUCGACGGGGUUUGAAGACAUAGUUGGAAGGCUUAAGGCGUACGAGGAGCGUGUAGGAGAAGAAACUCAGAAAGAAGACCAAGGGAAGCUGAUGUUUUCGAACAAUGAAGAGCAUAGUCAGAGGGGCUAUGAGAAUUCUCGUGGUAGAGGAAGAGGACAGAACGGUAGAGGCAGAGGUCGAGGUAGGUCACACAUCCAAAACCGUGCGUCACACACCGAAGAUAACAACUCGAAGAAGAAUCAUUCAAAGCUGAUAUGUUGGAGAUGUGACAAGCCUGGUCACUACGCAACUGUUUGUCCAGAAAAGACAGAGAAGGAUCAAGAAACCAACCUAAACGAGACAGAAGAGGCCGAUGCACUCUAUGUACACGAGGUGGUGUUUUUGAACGAAGAUAAGGUGAUUCCGAAGAAUCUUGAUAUCGACAAAGGCAAUGCAAGUGUCUGGUAUUUGGAUAAUGGAGCGAGCAAUCACAUGACAGAGAACAAGGAGUUCUUUUCGAGUUUGAAUCUCAACACCAAAGGGAAGGUGAAGUUUGGUGAUGGAUCGUGUGUUGACAUUGUAGGAAAGGGUGUGGUUACUUUUGAAAAGUGCACGAAGGAACCAUCAGUGUACUGCAAGACUCAAGGUGGAGACGUCUUGAUCAUAGCCAUCUACGUUGAUGAUCUAUUUGUGACAGGAACUUCGCUUAAGAUGAUUAGGCAAUUCAAGGAGGAGAUGUCUAAGAAGUUCGAGAUGUCAGAUUUAGGUAAGCUAACGUACUAUCUUGGCAUAGAGGUGAUUCAAGGAGCAGACGGAAUCAGAAUAAAGCAAGAGAGGUAUGCUCAAAGAAUCAUGUGUGACACAAAGAUGGAAGUGUGUAACACGACUCACGUAGGAGUGUGCAACACGACUCAAGGAAUCCUGUGUGACACAAAGAUGGAAGUGUGUAACACGACUCACGUAGGAGUGUGCAACACGACUCACAGAGGAGUGUGCAACACGACUCACGGAGGAGUGUGUGACACAAAUGUGGAAGCGUGUGACACAACGCACGUACCAAUGGAGUCAAGGUUCUCAAAGGCUGAAGAUGAACUAGAGAUAAAUCAGUUGGGUGUUGAGCAGAAGGCCGACAUCCUUCCCAGAGCUCACGUACGCAAGAUGGCGGAUGUGACCAGAGUUAUCAUCGCAGUAAGCUUCAGCCACAAGACUCAUCGCAACUUAAGUGAAGAGGUCAUGAGAAGGUUCUACAAGAACUGGGCCGAUUCUAAGAAGAAGCGGUACGGAAGCAAGGAGAGCAUCCGGUCUAACCUUGAGAAAGAUGUGAAUCCAAUGGGUGGAUUCCCACACCAUGGUGCGGUGGAGUAUGAUUACUUGAUGAUUGAGUUCAGGCAAAUGAGGAGCUUAAUCGGAGUUCAAGAAAUUGAUCUCCCUAAUUCAAGUUGGAAUUAAGGGGGUGAAUGUUGGAUAAUUCUAAGCUUGUGGAAACUUAACAUAUUAUUAGAUGUUUAAUAUGUUAAGAUAAACACAAUAAGGAAACCUAGAAAUAGGAAAAUGAAGUUUCUAUUUAGGUUAGGUUUGUGUUUUCCAUAUCCCACAUGUUAAAGGGAAUUGUCUUUCAUAUAAAUAUAGGUCUAAUGGAGAGGUGUUCUAUAUGAUCUAAGUGAAACAUAUUGAGAGCUUUAGUUUUG